GGAUGUGAGGGCGAUCUGGCUGCGACAUCUGUCACCCCAUUGAUCGCCAGGGUUGAUUCGGCUGAUCUGGCUGGCUAGGCGGGUGUCCCCUUCCUCCCUCACCGCUCCAUGUGCGUCCCUCCCGAAGCUGCGCGCUCGGUCGAAGAGGACGACCAUCCCCGAUAGAGGAGGACCGUUCUUCGGUCAAGGGUAUACGAGUAGCUGCGCUCCCCUGCUAGAACCUCCAAACAAGCUCUCAAAAUUCAUCCCAGGUUGAAAACCUCCAUGUUAUCUUGGUUGGCUUCAGAGACAGCAGGGAUAGACUCUUCAUGUCUUGUAUUGAAUUUAAAUGAGCUUCAGAGUUGUAGCACUAAUU
Molecule: small nuclear RNA, 355 nt
Filed under: Castor canadensis (American beaver)
Lineage: Eukaryota; Metazoa; Chordata; Mammalia; Rodentia; Castoridae
Description: 7SK RNA (ENSCCNG00000029607.1)
Rfam family: 7SK RNA
About the family: 7SK was discovered as an abundant small nuclear RNA in the mid-70s but a possible function has only recently been suggested. Two independent studies have found that 7SK RNA binds the CDK9/cyclin T complex (known as elongation factor P-TEFb).
Source: RNAcentral